Molecule: long non-coding RNA, 525 nt
Organism: Triticum dicoccoides
Lineage: Eukaryota; Viridiplantae; Streptophyta; Magnoliopsida; Poales; Poaceae
Exons: 4
Source: RefSeq, a predicted model, not a curated record
GUUCUUUCUUUAGUACCAAUGAAUAACUUGGUUACACAAUAUACUUGAAGAUUGCAUUAGGAACAAAAUGCUUAGCAGACCAAACUAAUUAGUUUUCUGGAGACAGACUACUCUUGCAUCAUUAUGUGCAACCCACAGGUAUCUCACUCGGCGAGACAUGCACACCUAUGCCACAUCUUUACAUGUUUCACAAAAACAUAAACAUGAUUGGAUGGGCGUCCUUGCCGGCGACCUCGCUAUCUCCAACCCAUCCACAGGGAGAAUACUAUGAAUGAGAAUGGACUAAGAAAUUGUGAUACACCUUCCUUUAGGUGCAUUUUCAUUCAGAUGGUGAUCCAGGUUUGUUGGAGCAGUACAUGCUAACCACCAAUUUGUUUUCUGAUCUUUUUAGUACAAGGCUUUACCAAACUAUCAAUUGAAGUGCAGGUCAACCAAGACUUCAUAUACAUAGGCUGAAAGAUGAAAACUAAAGACCAUGGAGAAGAUCACACCAUCUUUAUCCCAGGAAAAACAACUGCAUGGUCA